RNAcentral lists this ribosomal RNA (254 nucleotides) under uncultured bacterium. Its description in RNAcentral is "partial 16S ribosomal RNA". It matches the Rfam family "Bacterial small subunit ribosomal RNA", at positions 524 to 776 of the family's 1533-position model. The record is from RNAcentral.
AACGUAGGAGACGAACGUUAUCCGGAGUUACUGGGCGUAAAGGGCUCGUAGGCGGUCUGUUGCGUCGGGAGUGAAAACUUACAGCUUAACUGUGGGCUUGCGGUCGAUACGGGCAUCACUGGAGUUCGGCAGGGGAGACUGGAAUUCCUGGUGUAGCGGUGAAAUGCGCAGAUAUCAGGAGGAACACCGGUGGCGAAGGCGGGUCUCUGGGCCGAUACUGACGCUGAGGAGCGAAAGCGUGGGGAGCGAACAGG